AUAGCGUUUCUGUAAAGAAAGGAAAAAGUACUAUAUUUGGAGAAGCCCCGGUCUGCUUUCAAGACUCCUAAAUCUGAGUCUUCAGUGAAUUGGACCAAAAAAGAAAAACAAAAACAAAAAUGAAGACAGGACUAGUGGUGAUUCUAUGGCUUCAACUAGACUGGAUAACUGGAGAAGUGGUCGUGGAACAGAACCCUCGAUACCUGAGCACCCAGGAGGGAGAAGACCAUACCAUCUACUGCAAUUAUUCAGUCACUUCUACAGACAGACUGCACUGGUACAGACAGGAUCCAGGGAAAAGCCUGGAAUUUCUGUUUAUAUUGCUGUCAAAUGGAGCAGUGAAGCAGGAGGGACCAUUAACAGCCUCACUUGAUACCAUGGCCCGUCUUAGCACCCUGCACAUCACAGACACCCAGUAUGUUCUCUCUGCCACCUACUUCUGUGCCUUAGUCACACAGUGCUCCCAUGACACUGUUGGUCUAUACCCAAACCUGCAGCUGGUACCAUAG
Molecule: non-coding RNA, 509 nt
Organism: Marmota monax (woodchuck)
Lineage: Eukaryota; Metazoa; Chordata; Mammalia; Rodentia; Sciuridae
Source: the annotation of a RefSeq genome assembly